AUUGAACGCUGGCGGCAGGCCUAACACAUGCAAGUCGAGCGGAUGAAGGGAGCUUGCUCCUGGAUUCAGCGGCGGACGUGUGAGUAAUGCCUAGGAAUCUGCCUGGUCGUGUGGGAUCACGUCCGGAUACGGGCGCUAAUACCGCAUACGUCCUGAGGGAGUAUGUGGGGGAUCUUCGGACCUCACGCUAUCAGCUUAGCCUAGGUCGGGUUAGCUAGUUGGUGGGGUAAAGGCCUACCAAGGCGACGAUCCGUAACUGGUCUGAGAGGAUGAUCAGUCAGACUGGGACGGAGAAACGGUACAAACGGAUACGGGAGGCAGCAGUAGGGAAUAUGGGAGAAUGGGCGAAAGACUGAGCAAGACAGGCCGAGUGUGUGAAGAAGGUAUUCGGAUUGUAAAGCACAGUAAGUUGGGAGGAAAGGCAGUAAGAUAAGACCUUGAAGUAUUGACGGUACCAACAGAAGAAGCAACGGCUAAAUUCGUG
RNAcentral lists this ribosomal RNA (484 nucleotides) under uncultured bacterium. RNAcentral's name for it is "partial 16S ribosomal RNA". It matches the Rfam family "Bacterial small subunit ribosomal RNA", at positions 29 to 507 of the family's 1533-position model. The record is from RNAcentral.